AAUUGGAGGGCAAGUCUGGUGCCAGCAGCCGCGGUAAUUCCAGCUCCAAUAGCGUAUAUUAAAGUUGUUGCAGUUAAAAAGCUCGUAGUUGAAUUUCGGGAUCAAUAUUUCGGUCAUGCCGUUGGUAUGCACUGUUAUCAUUGAUUUCUCACCUUCUAAAGAACCGUAAUGCCAUUAAUUUGGUGUUACGGGGAAUUAGGACUGUUACCUUGAAAAAAUUAGAGUGUUUAAAGCAGGCUCACGCUUGAAUACAUUAGCAUGGAAUAAUGAAAUAGGACAUCCGAUUCUAUUUUGUUGGUUUCUAGGACCGAUGUAAUGAUUAAUAGGGAUAGUUGGGGGCAUUAGUAUUCAAUUGUCAGAGGUGAAAUUCUUGGAUUUAUUGAAGACUAACUACUGCGAAAGCAUUUGCCAAGGAUGUUUUCAUUAAUCAAGAACGAAAGUUAGGGGAUCGAAGACGAUCAGAUACCGUCGUAGUCUUAACCAUAAACUAUGCCGACUAGGGAUCGGAUGAUGUUAAUUUUUUAAUGACUCAUUCGGCGCCUUACGGGAAACCAAAGUGU
RNAcentral lists this ribosomal RNA (560 nucleotides) under uncultured Glomus. RNAcentral's name for it is "SSU rRNA". It matches the Rfam family "Eukaryotic small subunit ribosomal RNA", at positions 546 to 1106 of the family's 1831-position model. Lineage: Eukaryota; Fungi; Glomeromycota; Glomeromycetes; Glomerales; Glomeraceae. The record is from RNAcentral.